ACCCUUUAAUGUUUGAUGUUCUAACGUGGACCCGUGAUCCGGGUUGCGGACAGUGUCUGGUGGGUAGUUUGACUGGGGCGGUCUCCUCCUAAAGAGUAACGGAGGAGCACGAAGGUUGGCUAAUCCUGGUCGGACAUCAGGAGGUUAGUGCAAUGGCAUAAGCCAGCUUGACUGCGAGCGUGACGGCGCGAGCAGGUGCGAAAGCAGGUCAUAGUGAUCCGGUGGUUCUGAAUGGAAGGGCCAUCGCUCAACGGAUAAAAGGUACUCCGGGGAUAACAGGCUGAUACCGCCCAAGAGUUCAUAUCGACGGCGGUGUUUGGCACCUCGAUGUCGGCUCAUCACAUCCUGGGGCUGAAGUAGGUCCCAAGGGUAUGGCUGUUCGCCAUUUAAAGUGGUACGCGAGCUGGGUUUAGAACGUCGUGAGACAGUUCGGUCCCUAUCUGCCGUGGGCGCUGGAGAACUGAGGGGGGCUGCUCCUAGUACGAGAGGACCGGAGUGGACGCAUCACUGGUGUUCGGGUUGUCAUGCCAAUGGCACUGCCCGGUAGCUAAAUGCGGAAGAGAUAAGUGCUGAAAGCAUCUAAGCACGAAACUUGCCCCGAGAUGAGUUCUCCCUGAGACUUAGAGUCUCCUGAAGGAACGUUGAAGACGACGACGUUGAUAGGCCGGGUGUGUAAGCGCAGCGAUGCGUUGAGCUAACCGGUACUAAUGAACCGUGAGGCUUAACC
This 727-nucleotide ribosomal RNA is filed under the name Salmonella enterica. Its description in RNAcentral is "partial 23S ribosomal RNA". It matches the Rfam family "Bacterial large subunit ribosomal RNA", at positions 2202 to 2925 of the family's 2925-position model. The record is from RNAcentral. Lineage: Bacteria; Pseudomonadati; Pseudomonadota; Gammaproteobacteria; Enterobacterales; Enterobacteriaceae.